Long non-coding RNA from Labeo rohita (rohu), 1395 nucleotides. RefSeq lists it as uncharacterized. The record is from RefSeq and is a predicted model, not a curated record. The transcript has 4 exons. Lineage: Eukaryota; Metazoa; Chordata; Actinopteri; Cypriniformes; Cyprinidae.
GAUCUCACAGCACUUUUAUGAUCGUUCUCGUUCGGUUUGUUUCGUCUCUCGGAGCUCUUGUUCCGUCCCCGUCAUUCAUCAGUGUGAUAUUACAGGAUUUUCGGUCACAAACACAGCUAAAGUGGAUAUUUCUGCUCCUCAUCGAUUCACAAGAAGACGUUGUGGAGGGAAGUUGAUAUGUGACAGAUCACACCUAGAGUAUCAGACCCUACAGAAGAAGUAAAGUCAUUCAGUGAGAGAUGAACAGCAGAGAAAAACACUACAAAGAGUCAUGGGAGAAAAGCCUAUGGCGCAGAGAAAGCAUGCACCAAAAACCAAACAUUUGUCAGGAUGCAGACGAAUCUGAAGAGUUUUAUUCGGGUGAAUUAGACACAGUCACAGAUGAGGUCACUUCAGUACAUCCAGCUUGUUUUGAGCUUUUCAGCUCCUUCAUCUUUUUCGGUCAUCCAGCAGUCAGUGAUGUCACAGCACGUCUCCCUCUGCUGGAAGCACUUCUAUAGCACAAGAGGACACGUAAAGCAAAACGUCCACCUAAAAAUAAACUGUCAUCAUUUACUCAACCUUAUGUUGUUCCUGUAUGCGUUCCUGUAUGUUCUCCUGAACAUAAAAGUAUUAGAUAUUCUGAAGAAUGUUGGUAACCAGACAGUCUAAAAAAAUAUUAUAUGGAAGUCAAUGGCUACCAGCAACUGCUUGGCGACCAACAUUCCUCUUUUGUGUUCAAUACAGGUUUGGAACAACUUCAGGUUGAGUAAAUAAUGAGAUUUUCUUUCUUUUUGGGGGAACUAUCCCUUCAUUCAGUCAUUAAGUGAAUGAUAGCAGUGUAUUUUACAGUAAAUCUGUGUAAGUUGUCAGUUUACAAAAAAAACAGAACAAUGCAGCAUGACAUGAAUGUUAAAACUCACUUGAUUAUCUACACUGUCCUUUUGCUUUUCUGUCAUGGUGUUUGAUCUGAAAGUGACAGAAAAUAUUUCACCAGCAUUUUGCUCAUCAUUUGCUGCAUUCUGCUCAUUUUAGUUGUUUCAGAAUGAAACUAAAGACAUAUUUGACUGUUCUUUGUAAUAUCGCUGCGAUUGUAAGCUGCUUUAUUCCUUUAGUUUAUUUUUAUAUUUGAAGAGUUCAUUUGCAAAAACAGGUAACUCCAUUUUUAAGUUUUCAAAAAUCAUGUUUUUUCAUUGUGCAUUCCAAUUAAUCUCUAUGCAACAGCAAGUUGGGUUAUUUUGAUUAAGUAAAAAUAACAAAAAAUACAGCUAACAUAAUAAAACACAAUAAUAACAUUAUUAAAAAAACAUUUAUUUUUGAAAAUAAAAAACUGAGUUAUUUGUUUUUGCAAAUAAACUCUUCAUUUUUAUAGUUUUUGUAAAAUAAAAAAACCUCUAUGAGGUGCAUUACAUCUAA